UACGUAGGGUGCGAGCGUUGUCCGGAAUUAUUGGGCGUAAAGAGCUCGUAGGCGGUGUGUCACGUCGGCCGUGAAAACCUGCAGCUUAACUGUGGGCGUGCGGUCGAUACGGGCAUCACUGGAGUUCGGCAGGGGAGACUGGAAUUCCUGGUGUAGCGGUGAAAUGCGCAGAUAUCAGGAGGAACACCGGUGGCGAAGGCGGCAUCCUGGACCGGCACUGACACUGAGGAGCGAAAGCCAGGGGAGCAAACGGG
RNAcentral lists this ribosomal RNA (254 nucleotides) under uncultured bacterium. RNAcentral's name for it is "partial 16S ribosomal RNA". It matches the Rfam family "Bacterial small subunit ribosomal RNA", at positions 524 to 776 of the family's 1533-position model. The record is from RNAcentral.